UAUAUAUGAUCUUUCGGCUGAAGCACACGCGUUUUAAUUCUAAUCAAAUAUUGCCAAGGAGCGCUAAGUCCACGUGGGUAUACUCGUAUAUAUAUGCACCACAUCGGGCUUAAUGACAAGACAAAAAGAAUAAGUGAACCACCACAAAUCUAUUUCCAAACGCCCAAAAUGGCUGGCGUAAUUUCGCUGGCACCGAUCGUAACCUCCAACUGAUAGUUGAACAAAUAAUUUGGAGCAGCGAUAUUUGAUGAAAUCGCCUGGCGCUCGUUUUGGCUCACUUUGGUUGCCAACUCGAGCCGAGUUGUGUCAAGUUUUCCAAUGCACCAGAAUAUGCACAGCCUAGACGCUUACAGCCGGACAAAUUUAAGUUCCGAGACAAGCUCUUCAAUCGUUGUAAAACGUAAGAAAACUUAAAGUAACUAAAAGUAAACCCAUCCUUUACAGUUAAUAGAUCGAUACACGUGUUGUUCGCCCUGUUCUCCUGACCAGUUGAAAGUAGCCUAACCCCGGACUGAUGGUUAACCAUCACCACGUCCAGUACGAGUGUGUCGCGGAUAAGCAGGUCCCGGAAUCUUGGUCUAGCUGUUGAAUCUACCGCCACACAACUAACGAUUCACCCCCCGAUCUCGGCAGGCGAUCUGACUGCUGCAUCGCUUUUGUAGUUUUUAGAAUAUGUUUAAAUUUUGUUGAAAAUAAGCUUAUUAUGCGGGUACACUAUGUAUAUUUGGCCUUAGCUUGACUGUUAACUAAUAUCAUUUUGUAGUUCACUCAGCAUACACACAUCCCCAUUUACACACACCGUCCACAGGCCUUUCGACUGCGCUGGAAACAUAUUUAAAGUAUUCAUGCUGUAAUCAAUCUGAGCCAAGAAAUAUAAUUAUAGAAUAACAA
Molecule: long non-coding RNA, 891 nt
Organism: Drosophila biarmipes
Lineage: Eukaryota; Metazoa; Arthropoda; Insecta; Diptera; Drosophilidae
Exons: 2
Source: RefSeq, a predicted model, not a curated record